Molecule: ribosomal RNA, 500 nt
Filed under: uncultured bacterium
Lineage: Bacteria
Description: partial 16S ribosomal RNA
Rfam family: Bacterial small subunit ribosomal RNA
Source: RNAcentral
AUUGAACGCUGGCGGCAUGCCUUACACAUGCAAGUCGAACGGCAGCACGGGAGCAAUCCUGGUGGCGAGUGGCGAACGGGUGCGUAACAUAUCGGAACGUGCCAAGUCGUGGGGGAUAACGUAGCGAAAGACACGCUAAUACUGCAUACGAUCUACGGCGGCAAGCGGGGGAUCGCAAGAUCGCGCGCGAUUGGAUCGGCCGAAAUGAGAUUAGGUUGGUGGAGGGGUAACGGCCUACCAAGCCGACGAUCUGUAGCUGCUCUGAGAGGACGACCAGCCACACAGGGAAUGAGACACGGCCCAGACUCCUACGGGAGGCAGCAGUGUGGAAUUUUGGACAAUGGGCGCAAGCAUGAUCCAGCAAUGCCGCGUGCAGGAUGAAGGCCUUCGGGUUGUAAACUGCUUUUGUACGGAGCGAAACAGCUCUCUCUAAUCCAGGGGGCGAAUGACGGUACCGUAAGAAUAAGCACCGGCUAACUGCGUGCCAGCAGCCGCCGUAA